UACGGGGGGGGCAAGCGUUGUUCGGAAUUACUGGGCGUAAAGGGCGCGUAGGCGGCCUGCUAAGUCGGAUGUGAAAUCCCUCGGCUCAACCGGGGAACUGCAUCCGAUACUGGCGGGCUUGAAUCCGGGAGAGGGAUGUGGAAUUCCAGGUGUAGCGGUGAAAUGCGUAGAUAUCUGGAGGAACACUGGUGGCGAAGGCGGCAUCCUGGACCGGUAUUGACGCUGAGGCGCGAAAGCGUGGGGAGCGAACAGG
Molecule: ribosomal RNA, 253 nt
Filed under: uncultured bacterium
Lineage: Bacteria
Description: partial 16S ribosomal RNA
Rfam family: Bacterial small subunit ribosomal RNA
Source: RNAcentral